CUCCACUCUACAGACGCAUAAACCGAGGCUCUAAGACAUUCAUUAAUAGCGACCCAGGUCGUAACUAAUACUCAGCAGGAACUGGAUACCGGGACGCUUAUGACCUCAGAGCCAGGCUCUCAACCUCUGUUGCAGCUUUCAAAGUGUGCGCCAAGUCAGCAAGCACCGGGCUGACACCGGAACCAGGACGCUCUGCCACUGGAUGCCGCCCAGCUGCUGCGCGGGACCGCAUGGGUACCAGAGAAGCAAACGUGAAUUGCAGUGUUCCCAAGGGCUCGCGCGCGUCCUUCAAAACCUGCCAGCCACCACGAAGGAAAAAGACAGCUUAGAUUCUAUCUGACCCUAGAGAAUGGCCAGAGGAUGCCACCAGAAAGGGAUACCCGUGGCGAGGUUCGCUCCCGGACAGCCCAUCUUGACCGACCCCAGCAAAAGAUAUCAGCGCCUCUAGGUGCAGAAGAUCUGAGAGCGUGAGGCGGGGCGGGGCUGGGCUGGUGCGAAGACGUGGAAUCGUGUCUUUUCCGUGAAGCUUCGGGCCGGAGACCAAAGGAGGGAGCGUCACCUGAAGACGCAUCAACUUCUGACUCCUGGGGGCAUGCAGCUGUGGCCUGGCCUUAAAAGCGUACCUCUGGCCCAAUGGCGAGGUCUGUAAACAAAAGCCGGCCUCACACGGGUCUACAGCCCGGUGGCCUGCCUCACCGUGCACAGGCAUCGGAGAAGCAGAGCGGGAGAGAGGGCCAGAUCCGGAUAGGAUCCGGAGCGCGGACGUAAAGAACGGCCCCACUACCUGGACCAGUCAUUGUCUGCCCACCCAUAGGAUUCUGCUUUAAAUGCCCCCUCCCUAGCCCACCGCAGGUCCUUCACACUGUGUGCCCGCCCCCAAGGCUCUCCCGUGGUGUGCCCGACCGGGAGCGCAGCAUGGAUGGCCAAGGUGAACACCCGGCAACGUUGGCGAAGGGACAGGCCCGUAAGUGCCCAAGUCCGGGACCGAGACACACAGACAGAUCCAGGCGCGCGCGCGCGCGCGUGCACACACACACACACACCCUCCCAGAAGUUGAUUAAAAAUCAGCCGAUAAAUACAUAGAGAUGAGGCCGCCUCAGGUCAACGCUGACCUCCUGCCUCCAGAAUGAUCGAAUGCCAACGCCUGCACACUGUCACUUGCAUUCGGCUCCAGUACCUGGGCUCCGCUGUCUCGGCUAGUUUCUGGACUCUCCUUGGCGCGAUACAGAUGUGCCUUCCCUCCCCAGAUCACCUCCCAAGUGUAUGCACACGAAAACAAUACAAGCAAAGCCCGGUCUGGGGGAGCUAGGACCCACCGGGAGCCCCAGUGUGCGAAUGGGAGUCAGGACGUGCCCGUCACGGGCACCGCGGCUCUAGGCAUUCUCAUCGCCAUCCCUCGUGGAGACUCUGGCCAGUCAGCCCGACCGGCUUAGGCCAGGGUACUCACCAGUGACGUUCACCCAGGAUCUUGAAGACCUGGCCAGGCACAAAGCGGGGCCGCUGGGCCCCUGGGGCUGCGGGCGCCGAAGCCUUAACGGCGCUGCAGAGCUGCGAACCCGACGGCAGCGGCGCUGCUCAGCCCUUCGGCCCGCUCGCCGUCUGCCAAUGGGAACUGUCAGGGCUCCUGGGCCAGCGGGCCUCGGGGGCGGGGCCUCGGAAGCCCGUGGGAAACCGAGCUCCGAUUGGAGCUGCGGACAAUCGCUCCGCCUCCGUCCAGCCAAUCCGAGGCGGAGGACACGGGAGCGGGGCGUUCAGAGUUGGGCUGGAGUGUGACAACAGGCGCACGCCGGGUACCUGAGCGGCAUCCGGGCGCCAGGUGGGCCCUGUGGCUGGAGGGAUGCCGGCGGUGCACACUCCCGGGUGCCUUGACACGGUGCUCUGGCGUAAGCAGCCUGGGGAAACCGCAGCAAGAAUAACGAGACCUGCCGGCACGGGCCACGGCGAAGGAGCCCCUAACAAAGCAGCUUCGGGAGGGCCUGCUGGCCUCCGCCUCCUUCUCCAAUAGGUCCGUGAAGCUGCCUGUCACCAGACAUAGGUGGAGGUGGCCAAUGACGCGCACGAAUGAGCUAGAGUUGGCGCGCGCGCGGCUUGGCAGCGGUGGGAUUGGUCGGAGGUAAAGGAUUUUCCUGCCACCUAAGGCCUUGGAAGGCGGGGGGGCACCGAAUGGAGGAGGCGAAGAGCCAAAAACCUAGUACCUGCGACACGUGGUCUAGUUUGGGCGGCAUGUGGCUGACUCUAGGGAGAAACAGGAAUUUGCUUAGGUGAGAUAAAAUCUCAACGCGUCCCCUCUCUUAGGAGCCAGAUAAUAUCCGCCACCAAACAGACUUUAGGUAGGCAGAGUGGCCUUAGCCAAGUAUUGGAUAGUCCGGGACUCAUUGGGCUAAUGUCCAGCAAGUGAACUUGAGUUUCACGGUCGCCAGGGCAUUGUUCGUGACUGACGAGGUUCGCACAUGCCUCGGCUCUCUGUAAAAUCCUCGUAGUUGGUGCAGGUUGGCCUUUCUCAAGGUGGCGUGAGCCACAAAACAGCCUUAAAGCUAGUGACAAAACCGCUUCCCUAAUCCAGGCCAGAGCCUUCCCCUCGCUUUAGAGCUCUCCCAGCUUGGCCCAGGGAGUGGGAGGAGCAGACCUGCGGUUAUCUUGUAAACAGUGUACCUAGUGGCUUAUUGAGGCUGAAGUAGGAGGAUAUUGAAUUGAAGAUCAGCCUGAAACUGUUUCAAAAAGAAAAGAAAGUUAACACCUUUUCCUUCUGCACCCUCCUUCACCUCCCAAAUCCAUACUGCCUCUCACCUGAAUUUCAUUAAAGGCAUCCACCUUACUAAAAGAUUGUUCCAAACAGGAAGAUCUCAGUCUCUCAGCUCUGUUGUCUUCUCUUCCCCCAGUGUGUAUAGUCCCUCAGAGAUGGAAACAUUCCUUCUAGCAGGGAAUAUCCUUAAGUAGAAAGGAACACAACCCAAAAUAGCUUCAGGAAGUCCCUAAAACUGAGCAGAUUUGCUAGGUCCCUCCCUGCCAUACUAAGCAGUAAGAGCUGAGUCUCAAAUGAGCCAAGAUGCAGACUUAGAUGAGACCAGACCAGCCUCCUAGAAGAGGCAGAGACCAACUGAGUCACUUGGAAAGGACAGGCUCCUACAGACUGUACAGUGUGCUCCAGGUUCCCAGCUCUUGUGAGCUGUCACCAUGCUGGGGUGGCCUUUGGUGAUGCAGCUGUCUCUGAGUCAUGUCUGCUCUUGUUAAGCAAUCCCAAUAAAAUUCAUUGGUUCACUUACUUGGACUUUGCUGGUAUUUGUACGUUGGUCUGUCAUAAGAUGUAUUGCCUCUCCACAGGAAAAGUUUUGUCACACAAAACCCAGACCUAGGCACCCUUCCUUCCCUUGAACAAUUGCUACACAUUCCUUAAAGCCCAGCUUGGCUGACGUUUGCUGAACUUCUGGUGAGCAGGGUGUGCUCUCAUAGACACCAGGGAUCCUCCUGUGCCAGUGAGAAUUAGUUGCCCACCUCUGGUUCUCCCUGCCUCUUAGAGCACUAAAAUUGUCAAAACACACACACACACACACACACACACACACACACACACAAACUGUGUUUCCUGCUUGAGCAGAGUACCCUGAAUUCAGAAUAUCCCUUCGGAGGGGUGGGGGUUACACAUCCCAGAGCCUACUACAUGGCACAUUUAAAUGUAUUUAAAUAAUAUAUUUAAUUAAUAAGCUGUCAGUGUAUUGAGGUGAGCUUGAAGUGCUUCUAAAACACAAGGUACAGGAGAAUGUUUAGGUUGGCAGAUCUCAGAGUGACUUGUUUGCUGUCACUCUGUCUGCAGGGAAAUAGAGGGAUGCAAACAUCUGGCCCUCAGAGGCACCUGGACUUGAGGACACACAGACACACUCUCAUACACACACACAGACACACACACUCACACACACAGACACACCUGUCAUUUUAGUUUUAAAGAUAAAUAAAGGACUGGGAGGGUGGGUCUGUUGUUAAGAGCACUGGCUGGUGAAGAACCCAGCAUCUCGGUGGAAGCUCAAAGUCCCAGGGAAUUAAAUGGCCCUCUUCCAGCCUGCCUGCGUGCUGCACACAUGGUGAUGUAGGUAAAAGACUCAUACGCAUGAAAUUGUGAGGCCUAAAUUUUAGACUGUACAUGUUUUCAGGAAAAGCCUCUUAUACUCACCUCACAGGGCCAAGGCAUCUGCAGGCCCCACUGCGGACCUCUGCAGUGGACAGCAUCAUUUAAGAAAAUAUUACUGAAAGCCGUAUGACGGCUACUCUUCUAAACAGCUCUGUAGAAAUUAUCCAUCCUCAGAUGCUAAUGUUAUUUUAGUCUCAUAGAUGGGUGUGAUGGUUUGUAUUUGCUCAGCCUAGGGAGUGGCACUUUUUGGAGGUGUGGCCCUGUUGGAGUAGGUGUGUCACUGUGAGCAUGGGCUUUAAGACCCUCAUCCUAGCUGCCUGGAAGCCAGUAUUCUGCUAGCAGCCUUCAGAUGUAGAACUCUCAGCUCUGUCUGUACCAUGCCUGCCUGGUUGCUACCAUGCUCCCACCUGAAUGAUAUUAGACUGAACCCCUGAACCUGUAAGCCUGCCCCAAUUAAAUGUCCUUAC
This 4591-nucleotide long non-coding RNA is filed under the name Mus musculus (house mouse). RNAcentral describes it as "predicted gene 10789 (Gm10789)". The record is from RNAcentral. Lineage: Eukaryota; Metazoa; Chordata; Mammalia; Rodentia; Muridae.